UUGCUGUGAUGACUUUCAUUGGGUUUCGCACGUUGCUGAGUUCCAAUGAUGCCUCUUUCUCUUGUCUGUCUGAGCAG
Heterocephalus glaber (naked mole-rat) is the source of this 77-nucleotide small nucleolar RNA. Ensembl annotates it as small nucleolar RNA, C/D box 53B. Its record names the gene SNORD53B. NCBI's taxonomy places the organism in Eukaryota, Metazoa, Chordata, Mammalia, Rodentia, Bathyergidae. The record is from Ensembl.